AAAAAGAUAAGCUAAACUUUUAAGCUAUUGGGCCCAUAACCCAAUUAUGAUAAUAUCUCUUUUUA
Molecule: transfer RNA, 65 nt
Filed under: Chloriona tateyamana
Lineage: Eukaryota; Metazoa; Arthropoda; Insecta; Hemiptera; Delphacidae
Description: tRNA-Met
Source: RNAcentral